CCAGACUCCUACGGGAGGCAGCAGUGGGGGAUAUUGGACAAUGGGGGGAACCUUGAUCCAGCGACGCCGCGUGAGUGAAGAAGUAUUUCGGUAUGUAAAGCUCUGUCAGCAGGGAAGAAGAAAGUGACGGUACCUGACCAAGAAGCCCCGGCUAACUACGUGCCAGCAGCCGCGGUAAUACGUAGGGGGCAAGCGUUAUCCGGAAUUACUGGGUGUAAAGGGAGCGUAGACGGUAAUGUAAGUCUGGAGUGAAAGGCGGGGGCCCAACCCCCGGACUGCUCUGGAAACUAUGUUACUGGAGUGCAGGAGAGGUAAGCGGAAUUCCUAGUGUAGCGGUGAAAUGCGUAGAUAUUAGGAGGAACACCAGUGGCGAAGGCGGUCUGCUGGACAGCAACUGACGCUGAGGCUCGAAAGCGUGGGGAGCAAACAGGAUUAGAUACCCCUGUAU
Molecule: ribosomal RNA, 448 nt
Filed under: uncultured bacterium
Lineage: Bacteria
Description: bacterial SSU rRNA
Rfam family: Bacterial small subunit ribosomal RNA
Source: RNAcentral